This 376-nucleotide ribosomal RNA is filed under the name uncultured bacterium. Its description in RNAcentral is "bacterial SSU rRNA". It matches the Rfam family "Bacterial small subunit ribosomal RNA", at positions 521 to 896 of the family's 1533-position model. The record is from RNAcentral.
UAAUACGGAGGGUGCAAGCGUUAAUCGGAAUUACUGGGCGUAAAGCGCACGCAGGCGGUUUGUUAAGUCAGAUGUGAAAUCCCCGAGCUUAACUUGGGAACUGCAUUUGAAACUGGCAAGCUAGAGUCUUGUAGAGGGGGGUAGAAUUCCAGGUGUAGCGGUGAAAUGCGUAGAGAUCUGGAGGAAUACCGGUGGCGAAGGCGGCCCCCUGGACAAAGACUGACGCUCAGGUGCGAAAGCGUGGGGAGCAAACAGGAUUAGAUACCCUGGUAGUCCACGCUGUAAACGAUGUCGAUUUGGAGGUUGUGGGCUUGACCCGUGGCUUCCGGAGCUAACGCGUUAAAUCGACCGCCUGGGGAGUACGGCCGCAAGGUUA